AGAGCGAACGCUGGCGGCAGGCUUAACACAUGCAAGUCGAGCGCCCGUAGCAAUACGGGAGCGGCAGACGGGAUAGUAACACGUGGGAACGCGCCCUUCGGUUCGGAAUAACUCAGGGAAACUUGAGCUAAUACCGGAUACGCCCUUACGGGGAAAGAUUUAUUGCCGAAGGAACGGCCCGCGUCCGAUUAGCUAGUUGGUGAGGUAAUGGCUCACCAAGGCGACGAUCGGUAGCUGGUCUGAGAGGAUGACCAGCAUCACUGGGACUGAGACACGGCCCAGACUCCUACGGGAGGCAGCAGUGGGGAAUCUUGCGCAAUGGGCGAAAGCCUGACGCAGCAACGCCGCGUGAGGGACGAAGGCCUUCUGGGUUGUAAACCUCUUUCAGCAGGGACGAUUGUGACGGUACCUGCAGAAGAAGCCCCGGCCAACUACGUGCCAGCAGCCGC
RNAcentral lists this ribosomal RNA (449 nucleotides) under uncultured bacterium. RNAcentral describes it as "SSU rRNA". It matches the Rfam family "Bacterial small subunit ribosomal RNA", at positions 26 to 518 of the family's 1533-position model. The record is from RNAcentral.